RNAcentral lists this non-coding RNA (31 nucleotides) under Mus musculus (house mouse). The record is from RNAcentral. Lineage: Eukaryota; Metazoa; Chordata; Mammalia; Rodentia; Muridae.
CCCAUGUGCAGUAGAGUUUUCUUUUAGCCUA